RNAcentral lists this small nucleolar RNA (133 nucleotides) under Castor canadensis (American beaver). The record is from RNAcentral. Lineage: Eukaryota; Metazoa; Chordata; Mammalia; Rodentia; Castoridae.
CCCCUUUUAAAAGCACUUAGUGGGCCCUUUGCUAAUGACCCAUUGAACCGUCAAGAAGGAGCAGAGUAAAAACACUGCUUUUGGGUGAAGAGGCAGCAUGUGUUGUUUUGCUUCAAUCGGUGGUAUGACAAGU